UUUUUAUUUAUCUACUUUAGGGAGGGAAAUUCCACAGGGGCUUAAUAUUUGUGCUGAUUCAGAUGGCUUUUCUCCAGAUCAGAGGCUUUUUGGAAGUACAGUAAUUCAGAAAUGAAAGAUUUUCUGGCUAGAUUGACACCCACGUGAGAUACCGAAGUCAGUGAGAAAAUGCUUACAUUGAAAAAUUGAUUUCUCCAGUGGAAAGCUGUAGGUCUUAUAUUCCUAUAUUAAACGUCUUUUGCAGUUCAAGUAAGUAAUAAUUAAAGGCCUGUUUUUCCCUUUUCUUCCAGUUAAUUUUUUUAUAUAAAUGUGAGUACCCAAAUGAUUAAAUGUAUAAAAAAAUAUGUGUGCAUCUUGUCUUUUUAGAGGUACAACUGAAAAAGAAGGCUAAAAGAUAAUUUUAUCUUCAUGUUUACUCAGACUACUACAACCACGAUUUCCCCUGCAACAUGAAGCAAAUUUUCUAUAAAAGAAAGUGCAGGUAAGAACUGCCAACUGCCUGGGGGAAAAAAUUAUAUUUUAAUUAAUAUUUUUGAAGUAUAUUGAAGUAUAUUUUACUAUUGUGGGAAAGAAAGUUAACGUAGUGCCAGUAGCUGACUAUUUGUUCUGCAUUCUUUUUUAUAGCUAUUCAUCUUUGUAAAAGGAAACAUCUUUUUGGAUAUAUUAGGUUAUGAUGUAUGUGGAGGAAUAUGGGACUGGGGUGACAACAGAGAGACUUGGAAGCUAUGGGCCAGAUGAUACCAGUGAUGAAAAAACGCUCUGGAAUUAUCAAGAACUCAUGUAUGGACUGAGAAGAAAAACACCAGAACCUCAACGCCGUUUGCUGUCACCGCUAAAGACAUGCAAGCAAGCUUGAUAUGCUCCAGGUUUUCCUAUGGCAGUCCAGAACCUACACAGAAGACGAGCAGAGCGUAAUGGUCUGAGGUCUGGAUAAGAAUUGGCAGACUAGAGUGUCCUUAGUCUGAGCCCCAGCAAACAGGAAACCUUUCUAGGUCAGGUCAGCCAGUGGGGCCUUACAUCUGAUAUGGGGAAGAGUUGCCUUUGGUUUUCAUUCAUGCCACACUCAUUAAGCUUUUGGUCAAAAAUAUCACACUUAGCAUGUUCAGUCUUUUAGGUUUAUUUACAACAGAUUCAGAUUUAGUUUUUCCUAUCAGACCUUAUGUUUUGGUAUUUUCUAAAUAAAACAUGUACAUUUAAUAAGAAGUUGUCUGUC
This 1213-nucleotide long non-coding RNA is filed under the name Parus major (Great Tit). RNAcentral describes it as "lncRNA (ENSPMJG00000010920.1)". Lineage: Eukaryota; Metazoa; Chordata; Aves; Passeriformes; Paridae. The record is from RNAcentral.